UACGGAGGGUGCAAGCGUUAUCCGGAUUCACUGGGUUUAACGGGUGCGUAGGUGGGCAGGUAAGUCAGUGGUGAAAUCCUGUAGCUUAACUACAGAACUGCCAUUGAUACUAUCUGUCUUGAAUACCCUGGAGGUGAGCGGAAUAUGUCAUGUAGCGGGGAAAUGCUUAGAUAUGACAUAGAACACCAAUUGCGAAGGCAGCGCGCUACGGGAAUAUUGACACUGAGGCACGAAAGCGUGGGGAUCAAACAGG
RNAcentral lists this ribosomal RNA (253 nucleotides) under uncultured bacterium. RNAcentral's name for it is "partial 16S ribosomal RNA". It matches the Rfam family "Bacterial small subunit ribosomal RNA", at positions 524 to 776 of the family's 1533-position model. The record is from RNAcentral.